AGGAGCCGCACGAGUCGAGAGGCGCACGUCCGGCUCUGCGAGGGGCUUGGGGCAACUCUCCCGGUCCACUCACU
RNAcentral lists this unclassified non-coding RNA (74 nucleotides) under Variovorax sp. YR266. The record is from RNAcentral. Lineage: Bacteria; Pseudomonadati; Pseudomonadota; Betaproteobacteria; Burkholderiales; Comamonadaceae.